AACUUUUCAAAAACAUAGCGACCCUUUUGAAUUGAACUCAUAGUUUCAUCAUGAUGUAUGAUGAGUUUUGGCCAUUUGUGGAAGAACAAGCACUUGCUUGUUUGGAACGGUUGGAUUGUCGGCGUUCGAAGAUCUGAGUGUGACUUCUGCAUACGGUGUCCGUUUUGGGCCCAUAAGUACUUUUUGGAAAUGUAGCGAUCCAUUUGUAUUUAAC
This 214-nucleotide long non-coding RNA is filed under the name Olea europaea (common olive). RNAcentral's name for it is "long non-coding RNA (OEUR_LNC013622)". Lineage: Eukaryota; Viridiplantae; Streptophyta; Magnoliopsida; Lamiales; Oleaceae. The record is from RNAcentral.